This 460-nucleotide ribosomal RNA is filed under the name uncultured bacterium. RNAcentral describes it as "partial 16S ribosomal RNA". It matches the Rfam family "Bacterial small subunit ribosomal RNA", at positions 338 to 795 of the family's 1533-position model. The record is from RNAcentral.
CCUACGGGUGGCUGCAGUGAGGAAUAUUGGUCAAUGGGCGCGAGCCUGAACCAGCCAAGUAGCGUGAAGGAUGACUGCCCUACGGGUUGUAAACUGCUUUUAUAAAGGAAUAAAGUGAGGCACGUGUGCCUGUUUGAAGGUACUUUAUGAAUAAGGAUCGGCUAACUCCGUGCCAGCAGCCGCGGUAAUACGGAGGAUGCGAGCGUUAUCCGGAUUUAUUGGGUUUAAAGGGAGCGUAGAUGGGCUGUUAAGUCAGUUGUGAAAGUUUGCGGCUCAACCGUGAAAUUGCAUUUGAUACUGGUAGUCUUGAGUAUAGUUGAGGUAGGCGGAAUGCGUGGUGUAGCGGUGAAAUGCUUAGAGAUCACGAAGAACACCGAUUGCGAAGGCAGCUUACUAAGCUGCCACUGACAUUGAGGCUCGAAAGUGUGGGGAUCAAACAGGAUUAGAUACCCGAGUAGUC